This is a small nuclear RNA of 189 nucleotides. Its record names the gene U2. It matches the Rfam family "U2 spliceosomal RNA". Rfam says of the family: U2 is a small nuclear RNA (snRNA) component of the spliceosome (involved in pre-mRNA splicing). Complementary binding between U2 snRNA (in an area lying towards the 5' end but 3' to hairpin I) and the branchpoint sequence (BPS) of the intron results the bulging out of an unpaired adenosine, on the BPS, which initiates a nucleophilic attack at the intronic 5' splice site, thus starting the first of two transesterification reactions that mediate splicing. The record is from Ensembl.
AUCGCUUCUCGGCCUUUUGGCUAAGAUCAAGUGUAGAAUAGUUUACCCAUGAUUAAUAUAUUAUCAAUCACAACUAAAAAUCCAGUGGCUAAAUGGAAGUUAAUAUUUUACAUAUUAGCAUUCUAUUUUUCGUUUCUUUUGGUCACAUCUGAAGCAUGCUGAAGGGCCCAGGCCAGGGACUGAACCUGU